This 440-nucleotide ribosomal RNA is filed under the name uncultured bacterium. Its description in RNAcentral is "partial 16S ribosomal RNA". It matches the Rfam family "Bacterial small subunit ribosomal RNA", at positions 338 to 795 of the family's 1533-position model. The record is from RNAcentral.
CCUACGGGGGGCAGCAGUGGGGAAUAUUGCACAAUGGGGGAAACCCUGAUGCAGCGACGCCGCGUGAGUGAAGAAGUAUCUCGGUACGUAAAGCUCUAUCAGCAGGGAGGAAAAUGACGGUACCUGACUAAGAAGCCCUGGCUAACUCCGUGCCAGCAGCCGCGGUAAUACGUCGGGGGCAAGCGUUAUCCGGAUUUACUGGGUGUAAAGGGAGCGUAGACGGCAGCGCAAGUCUGGAGUGAAAUCCCGGGGCUUAACCCCGGAAUUGCUUUGGAAACUGGGCGGCUGGAGUGCAGGAGGGGUAAGCGGAAUUCCUAGUGUAGCGGUGAAAUGCGUAGAUAUGAGGAGGAACACCGGUGGCGAAGGCGGCUUACUGGACUGUAACUGACGUUGAGGUUCGAAAGCGUGGGGAGCAAACAGGAUUAGAUACCCCAGUAGUC